Molecule: RNA transcript, 2337 nt
Organism: Dioscorea cayenensis subsp. rotundata (Guinea yam)
Lineage: Eukaryota; Viridiplantae; Streptophyta; Magnoliopsida; Dioscoreales; Dioscoreaceae
Gene name: heat stress transcription factor A-4b-like
Exons: 4
Source: RefSeq, a predicted model, not a curated record
ACACUCAAGACUAACAGACAAAAGCGGGAAAAAACCCAGAGAGAAAAGGAGGGAGAAUUCUUGCUUUGAUUCCGAUCCGUUUCUCAUCUGCAAUGCUUGUUGCUGCUCUAUAAGUAGUCUUUCUUCGCUUUUUGUGAUUUGAAUUCUGUUGAAUUUUGGUGUUUUUGAUGGUCUUCCGGAGUUCAGUCUUUUGUGAGAUUGAUUGAAGUGGAGGAUUUCUGAUUUCGUUGAUUUUUCAUUGUUUUUUGAUUGAUUUGGUCUCAAGUUGAGUGAAUGUUUGGGAUUGUGUGGUUGUUUGUUUAUUGGAUUGGAGAAAGAUCAGAUCUUGAAGCAAAGGACUCUGUUUUAGGCUUUGAAUUUUCAUCUGUAGCGUCUGGUGUGAGCUAAAAGCUCUGGCCCUCUCGUGGAGUUCAAUCUUUAAUGAGAUUGAUGGAUAAUAGGGUUUUAAGUAGUUCUUUGGUUAUUGGUUUUGGGAAAGAUUAGAUCUUGAAGUGCAAACUCUAUUCAACGAGGUAAGAGGUAAAUGGCAAGAUGUGAUUUGAGUUUCUUCUUAUUGAUUUCAGAGCUUGAGAGAUGCAAGUUUGAUUGUUUAGAUUGAUGGAUUUGACUGAUGGAUCGCAAAGGGCCUCGAGUUCGGCUCCCCCAUUCCUUACUAAGACUUAUGACAUGGUGGAUGAUCCGAUGACAAGUAGAACUGUCUCUUGGAGCUCUAGUGGCUGCAGUUUCAUUGUUUGGCACCAGCUGGAUUUUGCAAGGGAUCUUCUUCCUAAGUACUUCAAGCACAAUAACUUCUCCAGCUUUGUUAGGCAGCUUAACACUUAUGGUUUUCAAAAAAUAGAUCCUGACCAGUGGGAAUUUUCAAAUGAGUUUAUAAAAGGAAAAAGGCACCUACUGAAAAAUAUUCAUAGGCGCAAGGCAAUACAUAGCCGAUCACAUCAAGGGAGUUCUUCAGGGAAAUUAUCAGAAGCAGAAAAACAAGAACUUGAGGAAGAGAUAGAGAGUCUGAAUCAUGAUAAAGCCAUGCUUACUCUGGAGCUGCAAAGGCACACUCAACAACAGCAAGGACUAGAGCAGCAAAUGGAGAAUUUGGAGGGGAGAUUGCAGAAGCUGGACCUAUGUCAAAGAGAUAUCAUGGAUUUCUUGAACGAGGUUGUUCAGAGGCCUGGCUUUCUUUCUAGCCUUGUUCAUCAUCUUGAUCUUUACAUCAAGAAGAGGAGGUUGCCAAAAAGCAAUUAUUGCUCUGAGGGUACUGAUAUGCAAGAAAACCAUAUCAUGGACUUUCAGUCCAUUUGUAUAGAAAAGUCUAGUCCUGCAUUGUUACAAGUUUCAGACCUUUCACCAUAUGAGAAGAUGGAGUCUUCCUUGAAUUCAUUGGAGAAUUUUCUCCAUGGACUUAGUGAAGCUUCUGGUGGAGGUAUUGAGUAUGAUGGUACUACACCUUGCCUUCCAUCUUCUAUGGUUAUUACAGAAAUGCAUACUUCUUGUGCGGAUACAGAUAUGAAUUUACAAUCACCAACUCCAAAUUUGAAUCUUGCAUCACCUUGUUUGGAAGUUAUUUAUUCUUCUACCCCAGAGUUGGAAGAAUCAACAAAUAAUGUUGAAGGCCCAGGGAUUCAUCCUAUAGAGAUCCAAACAGAUGCAAGGACUAAGUUCCCUAGGAUAGAUGUUAAUUCUGACCCUGCUGCUCCUGAGGUUCAGUCAUCAGGAUAUCAAACAACUACGGCCCCUAUCACAAUAGCGCCCACAGGGGUAAAUGAUGUAUUCUGGCAGCAGUUUCUCACAGAAACUAUUGGUUCAGUAGACUUGCAAGAGGUCCAGUCAGAAAGACGAAACAAAGAUGAAAACAGAGGUGAGGGUAGAAUGGACAAGCAGGCAGUUGUUUGGUGGAACAAAAAGAAUGUUGAUAACCUUGCAGAGCGAAUGGGUAGUCUAAAUCCUGUCGAGAGGUCAUAAUAGUUAGUUGUUUGCUUUAUCAUCCUCUAAUAGUUGAAAUGAUACCUCUAUGCAGCAUGGCUGUGAGGUACCAAGUUCCGUCCUCGUAAUCCUUAUGUAUUGGAGCACAUUAACAUUUCCAUAGCUAACCCAGAUUUCUAGACACAAGAGGACAUAAGAGAACUGGGAGAACCAUAUGGUGAUCAAUCUGGUUAUACUUUGGCUAAUAACUAUAUGAAUGAAAGCAAUACAAAAAGUUAAAGCAAAUUGCAUUACUGCAUUUUUCAAUUGCAAGGAUUUAGAUUCUAAAUCAGUGAGUGCUACAGGUAUGAAGAAAAACCAAUCUCAGCAAUUCAAUAUUCAGAAAUGCAUGCAGUUAUAAUUUAUUUUUUAAAACAGAGGGAA